Molecule: unclassified non-coding RNA, 309 nt
Filed under: plant metagenome
Description: partial contains 5.8S ribosomal RNA, internal transcribed spacer 2, and large subunit ribosomal RNA
Rfam family: 5.8S ribosomal RNA (bases 1-105)
Source: RNAcentral
GAAAUGCGAUAAGUAAUGUGAAUUGCAGAAUUCAGUGAAUCAUCGAAUCUUUGAACGCAUAUUGCGCCCGCCAGUAUUCUGGCGGGCAUGCCUGUUCGAGCGUCAUUUCAACCAUCAAGCCCCCGGGCUUGUGUUGGGGACCUGCGGCUGCCGCAGGCCCCGAAAACCAGUGGCGGGCUCGCUGUCACACCGGGCGUAGUAGAUUUUUCGUCUCGCCCAGGGCGUGCUGCGGGUUCCGGCCGUUAAAAAGCCUCUCUUUUAACCCAAGGUUGACCUCGGAUCAGGUAGGAAGACCCGCUGAACUUAAGC